GGCAGCUAUGGAGGUGGCUGGAGCUAGAUGAAAGUUUGUCCUUCAUCGUGGGGUCUUACCGAAACCUGUGCUGCCGCGCCCUUCAACAGGUCAGCUGGCAAACUUUCUCCAAUCAACCCGUCCUCAAACCUUCUACCUUUCUUGACUGCAAGGCUGAGCAAUGAACGCAGACAGACCAGCCAUGACGGCACUCCUUCAGCUCUACUCAAGAUGGGAUCAUGAUACAAGAUUGUUGAGGCAUCAUUUCUGAAACGUUACCCUGCUGGAAUAUGUGUAAAAUGGAAUUGCUGCCAGUGGCAACUUUAGCUGAAGAGGAAAUCUACUGUUGCUAAACUUCACCAAAU
Molecule: long non-coding RNA, 344 nt
Filed under: Equus caballus (horse)
Lineage: Eukaryota; Metazoa; Chordata; Mammalia; Perissodactyla; Equidae
Description: lncRNA (ENSECAG00000060008.1)
Source: RNAcentral